CUCCCUUCUCAAGCCUUAUGUGAAUUCCCCCCUCUUACCGCCUCCGGCUCCGGCGCCUCCACCUACCCGCUUCCUCGGCGGCGAUCCCAUCUACAACGUCCGACGAGUCCUGGACGCCCGUCGCCGGGGAUGGCAAUACCUCGUUGACAGGGCAGACUAUGGCCCCGAGGAACGCUCCUGGGAACCUGCCCGCUCCAUCCUUGACCCUUCCCUGAUGUCGGACUUUUGGGACCGUCGGGAGCCGUCCCUGGAUGGGGGGGGGGUCUUGUCAGAGGCCAAGUCCCCAAACCAGCCUCUUCCAGCUAGUCGGUCUCCACCCUGGACCACAACUCCCAGCAUACUCCUCGCAGGGAUUCCCUCCACGUCACACCUACGUCACUAACCGCAACUAUAUACGGAAGUCGCCUCUCCAGCUCACCACUCAGUAAUCGUUUCUUCAGAUCCAUGAUCAGAGUAUCCAAUCAACCUAUCCAUCCUAUGAACUAUCUGCUCAAAGUAAGUGCUCUUACUUACCUCUGGAAAACCUAGCAUCUCCGUGUCACUUCAUUGACGCUCGGACGCUCGGGGAUUCCUAGAUCAAACCGCGAGCCGGCAUUUCACCGACGCUACCACUUCUGCGUCUGUGAAACCAUGCUCUCUACAGCUCAACUUCUUGUAUUCCAGCUGGCCAGUCUGACAGAAAAUAGUAGCUAACUUAAUUGGUAAAUUGAAAGUCCAAUGUAACUUCCACCUUUCUUUCUUCUUCGUCUUCUCAUUUGAUCAGCUUUGUAUGAAAAACUUACAGUUGGAAAUGGCAUCAGCAGAGAUUCAAGAUGUACAGGGCUUUGUACGACAAGAGUUCAUAUCCAGGCUCAUUACUAAAUUGGAGGCAGCCCUCGCAAGAACACCUCUGGACACUGAUUUCUUGGAAUUUACAUUUCGUCAGGAGUUAUACCUCUGGGAUGCACUUCAUAGACUUGUAGAUAUCCCACCAGAAAUCAGGCAGGCUUUACAAGAUUUUAUGGGAUCUGUUAUUGAACAUAAUAAACAACUUCAAGAAGCUGCAAAUAGCAGAGCUGUGGACACUGUCUCUGGAGAAAUGGGUCAUCCGAGAUAUUAGCCUGGCAAGCCAGACUAAAUAAAUGUAUUAUUUAGUCUGGCCAUGCUCCAUUGACGGCUCUCGGUUGUGGGGCGGGUUCUACCGUUGUCUUUCAAAUGAUCUCCGCAUUCCACUGGACAAUGAAUGUGACAUACUCUUGUUUCACUCUGUUGCAUCAUCCCACCCACCAGGCAUAUAGAGUGCCCUGAUUGGCCCACAAAGCGGAUAAAGCUCUGUGAUUUGUUCACUAAGCAGAUAGAGCACUAUGAUUGGCCCACCAUUAUGGACCAAUCACAGCUCUUUAUGUGUUUGAAACCCCUCUAGAGAGCUGUGAUUGGCUAGCCAGAGUCCUGGUAGGAGCUGCUGAGGUUCCAAUGGAGCAUGCCUAGACCA
RNAcentral lists this long non-coding RNA (1471 nucleotides) under Nothobranchius furzeri (turquoise killifish). Its description in RNAcentral is "lncRNA (ENSNFUG00015013387.1)". Lineage: Eukaryota; Metazoa; Chordata; Actinopteri; Cyprinodontiformes; Nothobranchiidae. The record is from RNAcentral.